AUUCCGGUUGAUCCUGCCGGAGGCUAUUGCUAUCGGGAUCCGAUUCAGGCAUGCUAGUCGUACGAGUUCAUACUCGUGGCGUAUAGCUCAGUAACACGUGGUCAAACCACCCUCUGGACUGAGAUACCCUCGGGAAACUGAGGUCAAUCUCGGAUACUGCUUUCACGUUGGAAAAACGGAAAGCUGGAAACGGUCCGCCGCCGGAGGACGUGACUGCGGCUGAUUAGGUAGACGGUGGGGUAACGGCCCACCGUGCCAAUAAUCAGUACGGGUUGUGAGAGCAAGAGCCCGGAGACGGAAUCUGAGACAAGAUUCCGGGCCCUACGGGGCGCAGCAGCCGCGAAACCUUUACACUGCACGACAGUGCGAUAAGGGGAUCCCGAGUGCGAGGGCAUACAGUCCUCGCUUUUCGUGACCGUAAGGUGGUCACAGAAUAAGGGCUGGGCAAGACCGGUGCCAGCCGCCGCGGUAAUACCGGCAGCCCGAGUGAUAGCCAAUUUUAUUGGGCCUAAAGCGUCCGUAGCUGGCCGAACAGGUCCGUCGGGAAAUCCACCCGCUUAACGGGUGGGCGUCCGGCGGAAACCAGUCGGCUUGGGGCCGGGAGACCAAAGGGGUACGUCCGGGGUAGGAGUGAAAUCCCGUAAUCCUGGACGGACCGCCGGUUGCGAAAGCGCCUUUGGAGAACGGACCCGACAGUGAGGGACGAAAGCUAGGGUCUCGAACCGGAUUAGAUACCCGGGUAGUCCUAGCCGUAAACGAUGCUCGCUAGUUGUGACGCAGGCUACGAGCCUGCGUUGCGCCGUAGGGAAGCCGAGAAGCGAGCCGCCUGGGAAGUACGUCCGCAAGGAUGAAACUUAAAGGAAUUG
RNAcentral lists this ribosomal RNA (866 nucleotides) under uncultured Halococcus sp. Its description in RNAcentral is "bacterial SSU rRNA". It matches the Rfam family "Archaeal small subunit ribosomal RNA", at positions 1 to 867 of the family's 1478-position model. The record is from RNAcentral. Lineage: Archaea; Methanobacteriati; Methanobacteriota; Halobacteria; Halobacteriales; Halococcaceae.